GGCUCAUUUUUAUUUUUAUUUUCUAACUGUGGAGUGCUACCUUAUGGCACAUCAGAAAGCACAGAAAUGCACUUUUUAAGAUAAAUUUCUCCACAAAUCUUAAGUCUUUUAUGUUCUUGUUUUAGUUCUGAUGGUAAAAACUCUUCUAGGAUUGCAAUUCAUGAUUAUUUUAUUGUUUACUGUCCUUAGCAACCAAAUAUAC
RNAcentral lists this long non-coding RNA (202 nucleotides) under Mytilus galloprovincialis (Mediterranean mussel). Lineage: Eukaryota; Metazoa; Mollusca; Bivalvia; Mytilida; Mytilidae. The record is from RNAcentral.